RNAcentral lists this ribosomal RNA (488 nucleotides) under uncultured bacterium. RNAcentral describes it as "bacterial SSU rRNA". It matches the Rfam family "Bacterial small subunit ribosomal RNA", at positions 917 to 1382 of the family's 1533-position model. The record is from RNAcentral.
GGGCUCACACAAGCGGUGGAGCAUGUGGCUUAAUUCGAGGCUACGCGAAGAACCUUAUCCUGGACUUGACAUGUGCGAAAGCGGAGGGAAGUAGGGCGCGGAAACGUGUCCCCAACGGUAUCCAGUCCGGAACCCUCUACAGGUGCUGCAUGGCUGUCGUCAGCUCGUGUCGUGAGAUGUUGGGUUAAGUCCCGUAACGAGCGAAACCCUUGUUUCCAGUUGCCAGCGGGUCAUGCCGGGGACUCUGGAAAGACUGCCGGUGUCAAACCGGAGGAAGGCGGGGAUGACGUCAAGUCCUCAUGGCCUUUAUGUCCAGGGCUGCACACGUGCUACAAUGCCGCGUACAAAGGGAUGCCAACCCGCGAGGGGGAGCCAAUCCCAAAAAACGCGGCCCAGUUCAGAUCGCAGGCUGCAACCCGCCUGCGUGAAGCCGGAAUCGCUAGUAAUCGCGGGUCAGCAACACCGCGGUGAAUGUGUUCCUGAGCCUU